CCUACGGGUGGCUGCAGUGGGGAAUAUUGCACAAUGGGGGAAACCCUGAUGCAGCGACGCCGCGUGCGUGAGGAAGUAUUUCGGUAUGUAAAGCUCUAUCAGCAGGGAAGAAAAUGACGGUACCUGACUAAGAAGCCACGGCUAACUACGUGCCAGCAGCCGCGGUAAUACGUAGGGGGCAAGCGUAAUCCGGAUUUACUGGGUGUAAAGGGAGCGUAGACGGCUAAUCAAGUCAGAAGUGAAAACCCAGGGCUCAACUUUGGGACUGCUUUUGCAACUGAGUAGCUAGAGUGCAGGGAAGGUAAGCGGAAUUCCUAGUGUAGCGGUGAAAUGCGUAGAUAUUAGGAGGAACACCAGUGGCGAAGGCAGCUUACUGGACUGUAACUGACGUUGAGGCUCGAAGGCGUGGGGAGCGAACAGGAUUAGAUACCCCUGUAGUC
Molecule: ribosomal RNA, 440 nt
Filed under: uncultured bacterium
Lineage: Bacteria
Description: partial 16S ribosomal RNA
Rfam family: Bacterial small subunit ribosomal RNA
Source: RNAcentral